Vicia villosa (hairy vetch) is the source of this 677-nucleotide long non-coding RNA. RefSeq lists it as uncharacterized. The record is from RefSeq and is a predicted model, not a curated record. The transcript is spliced from 3 exons. Lineage: Eukaryota; Viridiplantae; Streptophyta; Magnoliopsida; Fabales; Fabaceae.
GUGGCAUUGCCUGUCGACGACUUGGAGGUCCUCCUGAACGUUUCUCGUACGGUUGGUUCUCAAGUUCCUCUAUAUGCAAUGUUGAUGCUGAUAUCCAGUCUGGCGUGAUUGCGACAGAAAGAGUUUGUCAUGAUCUUCGAUGUUCCGAUGUUGUAUUAUAUGAAAGCAAAUAAUGUUCAAACACUGUCCGUUUAUUUAUAGUAAAAGAGCAACAGACUUACUGUUUGGCAAUCUGCAUGGAGUACAUAUUCGAUUCUUGAUAGUACUGUUAAGGCCAAACUUUCAAGUAUUCUUUAAUAAAUUUCAAGAACACCUUUCCCUACAUCCUGUCAGAAUAGUAAGCACAAACAAUAAUACAAUAAUUAAUUACAGGCUUCGGUUCGAUAAAGACGUUGUCAUGGCAACAUUGUGACUGAAAAGCAUCAAGGAUCGAGAUGUAAACAUGACGUGAACUUACCGGUUUAAUUGGAUUUUGCUUAUAUCUAAUAAAGAUUGUGGAGGCCCUAUAAAUCUAUGCUUAAAGAGAAGCAAAAUGGUUUCUGCUCUCCCUUCAAGGAGUUCUCUUCAAGAUGGUUCAAAUAUUUUGAUAUGUUAUGACAAAGGUUCUAUGACUUCCGUGAAACUGAUUGUAGUUUUAAAAAAUAUUAUACUCGUGUAGAAAAAUAAUAAAGAUUCUA